This 235-nucleotide non-coding RNA is filed under the name Domibacillus aminovorans. RNAcentral describes it as "Bacillus aminovorans T-box sequence". It matches the Rfam family "T-box leader". Rfam says of the family: Uncharged tRNA acts as the effector for transcription antitermination of genes in the T-box leader family. T-boxes are found upstream of many aminoacyl-tRNA synthetase genes and some amino acid biosynthetic genes usually in Gram-positive bacteria. The anticodon of a specific tRNA base pairs to a specifier sequence within the T-box motif, and the NCCA acceptor tail of the tRNA base pairs to a conserved bulge in the T-box antiterminator hairpin. The record is from RNAcentral. Lineage: Bacteria; Bacillati; Bacillota; Bacilli; Caryophanales; Bacillaceae.
ACAUGAGCAAUGAAGAAGAAGAGUAGCAAUGAAUAAUGCUUUAGAGAGCCGGCGGUUGGUGCAAGCUGGUGCAGGACACAUUGUGAAUGGGCUUCUGAGCUUCCGGACCGAACAAGAAGUUAAGUAGGCUCUGGCGUACGUCUUACGUUACAGAAGACAGGCAGAAAUUCUGCUGUUAAAGUGGAUCGCAUACGUGCGGUCAAUAAAGGUGGUACCACGGCUCCCCGUCCUUUUG